GCUUUUUCCCGGUUUGAUAAAAGAAGGUGGAGCAGCAUUUAAUUGCAUUGCUAUCUCUUUGUAAAGCACAGUGGCAGUUUCAAGAUUCUUUCUCACAUGUUGUGAUUUCAUUCCGCAGUGCUCAGAAAGCUGAGCAAGGCCGUGAUGUCUUUUCCGUUAGGGGAUCACUGCUCAUCAUUAUUGCUUAUUGCAAAACAGAUAAGGUUGGUCGUAGCUCUAGUUAGGACAGUGCCACUGAUUCUUCUAAGUACUGGGUCUGCUCCUCCCGCCCUCAUCCCACCCUCAUGAAAACUGAGAUUAUCAUGGGCUAGGCUGGAGGAGAGGAAGCAAUAUAAGGGGCUUUCAGGUUCUGGAGUUUGUUGAACCUGGUUGGAAUUUCCUCUGUAUCAUUUACUAGCUUUGUGACCUUGAGCUAGUUACUUUCUUUCACAUCACCUGUUUUCCCUCUGUAAAAUGGGAUCAUAGCCCCCACCUUCCGAGAAUUGUUUGCGAUUUUGUUUUGUUUUUUGUCAUAAUAGGAGGUAACUCACUGAGAUUGCUGUGAGCCAGACACUGCCAGGUGGUUUUCCUGCGUCAUCAUUAAACUCUCAAUACUGUCUCCCAGGUUGUGCCAGUGAGUUCUCACACAUAAAGAAGUUUUGGAUCUGCCACUGCCACAGACUGAAACAAACACACCGUACGCUGUGUAGAGCACGGUGUCAGGCUUCACAGGAAGUAAGCGUUGGUUAUUAGUAGUAUUGAUAUUAAUGUUGGUACUAUUGUUACUUAACAUGUGAAAGUACUUUGUAAAUUGCAUAAAAUGUGAGGGUCAUUAUGCACAUCACUACUGUUACUACUAAUUGUAAUAAAGUUGAGUGUAAGAAACAA
Long non-coding RNA from Lynx canadensis (Canada lynx), 867 nucleotides. RefSeq lists it as uncharacterized. The record is from RefSeq and is a predicted model, not a curated record. The transcript is spliced from 2 exons. NCBI's taxonomy places the organism in Eukaryota, Metazoa, Chordata, Mammalia, Carnivora, Felidae.